This 544-nucleotide ribosomal RNA is filed under the name uncultured bacterium. Its description in RNAcentral is "bacterial SSU rRNA". It matches the Rfam family "Bacterial small subunit ribosomal RNA", at positions 8 to 526 of the family's 1533-position model. The record is from RNAcentral.
AGAGUUUGAUCAUGGCUCAGGACGAACGCUGGCGGCGUGCCUAAUACAUGCAAGUAGAACGCACAGUUUAUACCGUAGCUUGCUACACCAUAGACUGUGAGUUGCGAACGGGUGAGUAACGCGUAGGUAACCUGCCUGGUAGCGGGGGAUAACUAUUGGAAACGAUAGCUAAUACCGCAUAAUAUUAAUUAUUGCAUGAUAAUUAAUUGAAAGGUGCAAUUGCACCACUACCAGAUGGACCUGCGUUGUAUUAGCUAGUAGGUGAGGUAACGGCUCACCUAGGCGACGAUACAUAGCCGACCUGAGAGGGUGAUCGGCCACACUGGGACUGAGACACGGCCCAGACUCCUACGGGAGGCAGCAGUAGGGAAUCUUCGGCAAUGGACGAAAGUCUGACCGAGCAACGCCGCGUGAGUGAAGAAGGUUUUCGGAUCGUAAAGCUCUGUUGUAAGAGAAGAACGGGUGUGAGAGUGGAAAGUUCACACUGUGACGGUAUCUUACCAGAAAGGGACGGCUAACUACGUGCCAGCAGCCGCGGUAAUUC